CAGCCGCCACGGUAAAACGUAGGUGGCAAGCGUUGUCCGGAAUUAUUGGGCGUAAGGCGCGCGCAGGUGGUUUAAUAAGUCUGAUGUGAAAGCCCACGGCUCAACCGUGGAGGGUCAUUGGAAACUGUUAAACUUGAGUGCAGGAGAGAAAAGUGGAAUUCCUAGUGUAGCGGUGAAAUGCGUAGAGAUUAGGAGGAACACCAGUGGCGAAGGCGGCUUUUUGGCCUGUAACUGACACUGAGGCGCAAAAGCGUGGGGAGCAAACAGGAUUAGAUACCCCAGUAGUCCCUGUCUCUUAUAC
RNAcentral lists this ribosomal RNA (301 nucleotides) under uncultured bacterium. RNAcentral's name for it is "partial 16S ribosomal RNA". It matches the Rfam family "Bacterial small subunit ribosomal RNA", at positions 509 to 807 of the family's 1533-position model. The record is from RNAcentral.